AGUGAACGCUGGCGGCGUGCCUAAUACAUGCAAGUCGAACGGGGUGGCGCACGGGGGAGUAAUAUAUAGCUAAUCUGCCCCUUGCUGGAGGGCAACAGUUAGCAAAGACUGCUAAUAUUCAAAAGCAAGGGAUGAGACUGUAUCGUAUCAGAUGGUCGGGGGGGUAACGGCCUACCGAGGCGAUGACGCGUAACUGGUCUGCGAGGAAGAGCAGUACCAUUGGAACUGAGACACCGUCCAAGCUCCUACGGGAGGCAGCAGUAGGGUAUAUUGCGGAAUGGGGGUGACCCUGACGCAGCAACGCCGCGUGGAGGAUGACACUUAUCGGAGCGUAACCGCCUGUUGUUAGGGAAGCGGUACCUAACGAAUAAGCACCGGCUAACUCCGUGCCAGCAGCCGCGGUAAUAC
This 408-nucleotide ribosomal RNA is filed under the name uncultured bacterium. RNAcentral describes it as "partial 16S ribosomal RNA". It matches the Rfam family "Bacterial small subunit ribosomal RNA", at positions 29 to 526 of the family's 1533-position model. The record is from RNAcentral.